GACGAACGCUGGCGGCGUGCCUAAUACAUGCAAGUCGAGCGGAUGACAGAGGAGCUUGCUCCUCUCGAUUCAGCGGCGGACGGGUGAGUAACACGUGGGCAACCUGCCCUGUAGAUUGGGAUAACUCCGGGAAACCAGGGCUAAUACCGAAUAAUCCUUCGGACCUCAUGGUCCGAUGUUGAAAGACGGCAUCUCGCUGUCACUACAGGAUGGGCCCGCGGCGCAUUAGCUAGUUGGUGAGGUAACGGCUCACCAAGGCCACGAUGCGUAGCCGACCUGAGAGGGUGAUCGGCCACACUGGGACUGAGACACGGCCCAG
This 319-nucleotide ribosomal RNA is filed under the name uncultured bacterium. Its description in RNAcentral is "bacterial SSU rRNA". It matches the Rfam family "Bacterial small subunit ribosomal RNA", at positions 28 to 334 of the family's 1533-position model. The record is from RNAcentral.